This 1071-nucleotide ribosomal RNA is filed under the name Triticum aestivum (bread wheat). Its description in RNAcentral is "partial small subunit ribosomal RNA". The record is from RNAcentral. Lineage: Eukaryota; Viridiplantae; Streptophyta; Magnoliopsida; Poales; Poaceae.
AUGGCAAGAGCAAUUGCAACGAUACUACUCAUGGCUAUCGUGCUUGUUGCCGCUAUGCAAUUGGCGAGUUCCGUCGACAUCACGCACACGGACUUGGAGUCGGAGAAGUCCCUGUGGGCACUGUACGAUCGCUGGUGCGAGCAUCACAAUGUGGGACGCGACCUCGGCGAAAAGGCCCGGCGCUUCAGCGUGUUUAAGGAGAACGCUCGCAUGGUCCACAAAUUCAACCAAGGUGACGCACGCUACAAGCUUAGCCUCAACCUCUUUGGUGACAUGACCGAUGAAGAGGUCGACGGCGGGUACGGUCGCUGCUCCAACCCCUUGCCAAACAGCGCGAAGCAGCGCCAAGGCCGGGUCACACAUGGCGUCCUUGCCACGCGUGACAACUACCCAAUGUACGUGGACUGGCGCAUGACAGGGUACGACCAACGCCCGUCAGCGGUGACAAACGUGAAGAACCAGAGAGGGUGUGGGGCUUGUUGGGCCUUCGCGGCGACAGCCGCGGUGGAGGGCAUCAAUUCCAUCAGGACCAGGAAGCUGGUGUCGUUUUCCGCGCAGCAGCUGGUAGACUGCGAUAAAGGAAGUGCCGGUUGUGGUGGCGGCAAUGCGAUAUUGGCUUUCAAGUACAUGAUGGGCCACGUCGGAAUCUCGACAGAGGCCGACUACCCGUACUAUGCCGAUGAGCAAGGCUACUGCUUGGUGCCAAAACGAAAGAACCCCGUCGUCACCAUCGACGGCUUCAAAGAGGUACCGCCAAAAGACGAGGUGGCGUUGCUGCAGGCGGUGGCGGCCCAACCCGUCGUUGUGGUGGUUGACACGAAGACAUUCCGACGCUAUGGAGGAGGCGUCUUUGUUGGUCCGUGUGGGACGAAUCGGACCCACUCAAUGACGAUGGUGGGCUAUGGCACCACAGAUGAGACUGACCCCAUAGAUUACUGGAUCAUAAAGAACUCGUGGGGGCCAAAAUGGGGUGAAGACGGCUACAUCCGCUUGGCGCGAGGCGUGAGCGGUGGCACCAACGAGGGCUUAUGCGGCAUCCUGAUGGAAGCGUCGUACCCAGUGAAAAAUUAA